AAGUCGUAACAAGGUUUCCGUAGGUGAACCUGCGGAAGGAUCAUUAUUGAAUGAAUUCGAGUCUUACGGUUGUCGCUGGCCUCUCGGGGCAUGUGCACGCCUGGCUCAUUUCCAUCCUUCACACCUCUGUGCACUUUCCCAUGGGUUGAAUGUUCAGUAGUCUCGAAAGAGGCCUUCUGGACUUUUGGCCUGUGUGUUCUACAACAUACACCUGUCUGUCUCAGAAUGUAUACUUGUCAUGCAUUUAAUUGCAUAUAAUACAACUUUCAACAACGGAUCUCUUGGCUCUC
Molecule: unclassified non-coding RNA, 290 nt
Filed under: Nigroporus vinosus
Lineage: Eukaryota; Fungi; Basidiomycota; Agaricomycetes; Polyporales; Steccherinaceae
Description: partial internal transcribed spacer region
Rfam family: Eukaryotic small subunit ribosomal RNA (bases 1-46)
Source: RNAcentral